RNAcentral lists this ribosomal RNA (443 nucleotides) under uncultured bacterium. RNAcentral describes it as "partial 16S ribosomal RNA". It matches the Rfam family "Bacterial small subunit ribosomal RNA", at positions 338 to 795 of the family's 1533-position model. The record is from RNAcentral.
CCUACGGGUGGCAGCAGUGGGGAAUAUUGGGCAAUGGAGGCAACUCUGACCCAGCAACGCCGCGUGAAUGAUGAAGGUCUUCGGAUUGUAAAGUUCUUUUCUAAGGGAAGAAGAAAGUUACGGUACCUUAGGAAUAAGCCUCGGCUAACUACGUGCCAGCAGCCGCGGGAAUACGUAGGAGGAAAGCGUUUACCGGAAUGACUGGGCGUAUAAGGUGCGAAGGUGGUUUGACAAGUUGGUACCGUAACGCCGGAGCUAAAAUUGGGAACUACUACCACAACUGUUGGACUCGAGUGCAGGAGGGGCCACUGGAAUUGCUAGUGUAGCGGUGGAAUGCGUAGAUAUUAGGAAGAACACCAGUGGCGAAGGCGAGUGUCUGGACUGUAACUGACACUGAGGCACGAAAGCGUGGGGAGCAAACAGGAUUAGAUACCCUUGUAGUC